Pieris napi is the source of this 498-nucleotide long non-coding RNA. RefSeq lists it as uncharacterized. Lineage: Eukaryota; Metazoa; Arthropoda; Insecta; Lepidoptera; Pieridae. The transcript is spliced from 3 exons. The record is from RefSeq and is a predicted model, not a curated record.
AGAUGCAGCAACUCUUCCACGGUCGCAAUACCUGUCCACUCCCUAACGUUACGAAGACAUGAUUUUUUCCUUCAACAAGCCGUGUACCCUGGAGUUAACACAUGACACAGGACUUAUAAAUAGAACACUUUUCACUGAAGUAUUUUCGAAGCAAUUCCACAUGGGGUCCUUCAAGAGAGCGUACCAGUUCCUAAAAAGCCGCCAAUUCCUAAAAUGGGUGGCGAUAUCACUUUAGUUUCAGAACUUUCAGUCCCAAAAAGCAGUUUACUUCUUAUAUCUUCUUUCGAAGGAGAUCAACGUUUAAUUUUGGAUGCCGCGCUUCUGAACUAGUAACUUGGUACAUGAACCGUUGCCUAAGAUUCUUCUUGAAAGAGUCUUCUUCUACCGGCCACUAUGCCUUGAUUGGAGCUCGAAGAAGUUUACUAAAGCGAUUUAUUCUACAAUUAAUUACAAUUCAUUAUGGGAUUAAAAUUUAAUCUAUUUUUCAGAUAUAUCGAA